This 445-nucleotide ribosomal RNA is filed under the name Streptococcus mitis. Its description in RNAcentral is "bacterial SSU rRNA". It matches the Rfam family "Bacterial small subunit ribosomal RNA", at positions 28 to 465 of the family's 1533-position model. The record is from RNAcentral. Lineage: Bacteria; Bacillati; Bacillota; Bacilli; Lactobacillales; Streptococcaceae.
GACGAACGCGGCGGCGUGCCUAAUACAUGCAAGUAGAACGCUGAAGGAGGAGCUUGCUUCUCUGGAUGAGUUGCGAACGGGUGAGUAGCGCGUAGGUAACCUGCCUGGUAGCGGGGGAUAACUAUUGGAAACGAUGCUAAUACCGCAUAAGAGUAGAUGUCGCAUGACAUUUGCUUAAAAGGUGCAAUGCAUCACUACCAGAUGGACCUGCCGUUGUAUUAGCUAGUUGGUGAGGUAACGGCUCACCAAGGCAACGAUACAUAGCCGACCUGAGAGGGUGAUCGGCCACACUGGGACUGAGACACGGCCCAGACUCCUACGGGAGGCAGCAGUAGGGAAUCUUCGGCAAUGGGGGGAACCCUGACCGAGCAACGCCGCGUGAGUGAAGAAGGUUUUCGGAUCGUAAAGCUCUGUUGUAAGAGAAGAACCGAGUGUGAGAGUGAAA